Molecule: ribosomal RNA, 373 nt
Filed under: uncultured organism
Description: bacterial SSU rRNA
Rfam family: Bacterial small subunit ribosomal RNA
Source: RNAcentral
CGUAGGGUGCGAGCGUUGUCCGGAAUUAUUGGGCGUAAAGGGCUCGUAGGCGGUUUGUCACGUCGGGAGUGAAAACUCAGGGCUCAACCCUGAGCCUGCUUCCGGUACGGGCAGACUAGAGGUAUGCAGGGGAGAACGGAAUUCCUGGUGUAGCGGUGAAAUGCGCGGAUAUCAGGAGGAACACCGGUGGCGAAGGCGGUUCUCUGGGCAUUACCUGACGCUGAGGAGCGAAAGUGUGGGGAGCGAACAGGAUUAGAUACCCUGGUAGUCCACACCGUAAACGUUGGGCGCUAGGUGUGGGACUCAUUCCACGAGUUCCGUGCCGCAGCUAACGCAUUAAGCGCCCCGCCUGGGGAGUACGGCCGCAAGGCUA